This 713-nucleotide long non-coding RNA is filed under the name Dromaius novaehollandiae (emu). RNAcentral describes it as "lncRNA (ENSDNVG00000007968.1)". The record is from RNAcentral. Lineage: Eukaryota; Metazoa; Chordata; Aves; Casuariiformes; Dromaiidae.
CCGCCGCCGGGCUCCCUGCGGGGCAGGGCAGGGCGGCAGCACCGCCCCCCUCCGAGCCUGGCCCAGGGCGAGCGGGCGUCGUUUCGGAAGAGGAAAGACGCCCUCAGGCUCCAGGUGGUCAUGACGCUCCCGACUCUUAACGGUAUCGCCGUUACUACGGUGCCGGUUAACCCCCGAGGCUCCCUCGCGGCUUCAAAAAGCGCGUUCCCGGCUCGUGCUGGUCCGCAGCGUCCCAGCAGCUUGACUGCACCAGAACACAAAGAUGGAGCAAAACACCAGUAACUGUCAAGGAAAGGAGACUUUGUGCCAACACAGCCCAUACCAUGUCUAUUGCAAAAGGUCAUGUGCUUGCUAUAUAGCCAUGUCGACCAUCUUCUGCUCUACGAUCUUCACCAGCUGCACUUCAGAUCCCUCUACCAGCUGCACCUUCUGUCCAGAGACAGGUGAGCUAUUCUGCUCUGCAGCUGUGGGUCACCCCCAGCAGGGCCCUGUGCUCCAAGGAGCCCUUUCGGAAGCCAGAUCCCUCAGCUGUAGAUUAACUCAGCAUCAUGAUUAACGUGCAGGCUUUCCUCAUCGUGCAAUCUGACACACAGGCACACACCCCCGCCUCAGACCCAGGGGACACAUGGACAGCCCUGCCCUGUGGUAUGAUGCAAUUACAUGACCUAACACAGGAAACUUGCAUAUGGCAUCAGAAGAAAACGUGCCUAACU